AGAAAUUUUCCACUCCGACCCCUAGCCGCCACUUUCUUGUCCCUCCCUUCUCCCAUUAGUCGGCGCACCUGCAUCCUCACAAAGCACACGCGCAUGCAAGCUAUCCCCAUGGCGGCACUCGGUAAGACCUGCCCAGGUCUUCUCCAUCCCCGCCAAGCAUCGUUUCCCUGCAGCCCCGCACCGUGAUGCGCACCAUGUGUUCGAUGUAAUGCCCAACGGGUGCAGCGUGUUGUGGACAACACUGUCACUCGCGUCGUGCUGCACCAAGGUAUGUAGCGUCGUUGUCCCGCACCUGUUGCUUUUGGUGUUCACCAACUAUUCGACAUGAUGCUCAAGCCGAGAAAAUGCAUGGUUCUCGUUGCGGGUUUCAUCGUGCCGCGUCGUUGCUGUGGUCCUUUCCGCGUGGUGCCUCAUGUUCCAGUUGCACGAUGAAGUGCACGACUAGGUCAUCAGCGCGUUGUCGACUUCUCUGUGUCGUGCCAAACCAUGAUACCCCUCCGCUCGCUAUUGCGCAUAUCUGCAUGUCUAGAAUCCUAGCAAGAAAAUAUCCCUCAUUUUUAGGUAAUUGAAGCGAGAUUGAUGAAUAAUAUAUAAAAAUAAUAGGGUUUAUUAUUGUCUCAUAAAAUGAAAUGACAUGGGGCAUGGCCAAGUGGUAAGGCAGCGGGUUUUGGCCCCGUUACUCGGAGGUUCGAAUCCUUUCGUCCUAGAUUUUUCUGAUGAAGCGAAAGAUAGAAUCGUAUUGUGCCCUGCACGACACAAAAGUUUAUUAAAGAGAAUAAUUAUCUCUUAUGAACUCGUAGAUUAGAUGCAUUUCUAAGCAUUUUUUCUUUCUUAGAAAACAAAAAAUAAAGUGUCAAGUCCAGUCAAAUUUAAUAUCUUUAUUUUCAUGAUUUUUUGUCUAUCAGGCACAUUCAGGAUAUGCCCCUACUACUCAUUACUCAUAUGUGUUUUGAAAUUGGAAGUUUUUGGAUAAACUUUAUACCCCGUAUCUAUGAAGUGGGAAUUCUUAGAGGAUCCAUUUGACACCCAAUAUGAAAGAAAAGAAGUACCCCUAUUUAUUUUCCCAAAACUUAUGAUAAAGGACACAUGUUCUCCGCUUGCUCUUCUCAUGUUAUAUCCAAUAGUAAACUUCCCAUAUAACAAUUCUGUAUUGUACACAUACUUUUUGAUUUGAGUAGUUUCAUUAGGAAUGGAACUUGUAAUUGUAAUAGAAGAAGAGGAUUUUCUAGUCAGAAUACGGUGGGAUGUGGCCCCGUGCGACGCUCGCCAAUUUGGCUAAUGUCAUGCUUGUGAGCAAAUGAAUAAUUUCGUUGGAGAAGAAAGUCCGAGAGAUGAUGAUCAUGUGAAAUGAAGGACGUGGAGUGGAGUUUACCACAAGACAAAGUCGGUGGACAAGCCUAAAGACAGACGAGACAAAGACCAAGAUAGGACAUGCUCGCCAAGCAAGUAUCCUCUAACAAACACUAUCAUAGUCUGAAUUCUAAGCAAGACUCGGUUCUAUGCAUAACCAUUAUAUAUGAUAUUUUACUGCAAUUUAUUUGUAGGCUUGUAUUGUGCACUAACAUGUAGGAAUUGAUUGAAACCCUAGAUGCAUGAACUCAGGUUCCUUUUUGAGAUGAAUACUAGAAUGCUAAGUUAAGUAGCUGCUAUGCUAAUUAGGGAUAUCAAUAGAAACCGAGUAAUUUUUCUAGCACUCGUCCGAGGUCAGAAAUUGACUGUAUUCAUUUUAAUAAUGGGAUUAUGAUUAUCUGUGGA
This is a long non-coding RNA of Zea mays, 1755 nucleotides long. RefSeq lists it as uncharacterized. The record is from RefSeq and is a predicted model, not a curated record. Lineage: Eukaryota; Viridiplantae; Streptophyta; Magnoliopsida; Poales; Poaceae. The transcript has 2 exons.